AUGGCGUUGCUACAUAACAUGUCAGACGAGUGCAUUAAGAGCGAACUGGAUCUCUUCUCCCUGCCUAUGACGCAGACUUCGAUAGAAAAAAGUACAUAUAUUGAAAUACCCCCGCUAUCAGCGCUAACAGAUGGUGGCCCCAUAGAGUUCUUUGUAUCGGCCAGUAGCGAAGACUAUAUGGAUCUAAACAAUACGUAUUUACACCUGAGGAUCAAGAUUACUAAUCCUGAUGGAACAGACUUGGCGCCGGCGGCACCCGUUGGACUGAUUAACUAUCCAGGAUGCACGUUAUUCUCCCAAGUAGAUAUUACUCUGGGUGAUAGGCUUAUCACCCAGUCGUCAAACACCUAUCCGUACAGAGGCAUAAUAGAAUGCCUGCUAAACUAUGGAAACGGAACAUUAGACACCCAAUUUGGUUGUGGUCUAUUCCAGAAAGACACACACGGACAUAUGGACGAGAUUCUUCCUGGAGGUCUCAAUCUAGGCUUAACGACAAGGAGUGAAUAUACGGGGCGAAGUCGUAUAGCGGAGCUGAUAUCCCCUAUACACGUCGAUAUGUUUUUUCAGGAGAAACUGAUGAUUAACGGAGUUGAUCUCCGUAUGAGAUUCAUUAGAGCAAAAAAUGAUUUCUGUCUCAUGUCCGAUGGUGCUGUGGAAUACCGUGUCUCUAUAGUGUCUGCAAAUGUUUUCAUUAAAAAGGUAUCGGUAGCACCAGGCGUCAAGCUGGCACAUGCCCGUGCGUUAAACCAGGCUAACGUUAAAUACCCUGUUGAUAGGGUAUGUCUAAAGAAUGUAUCCAUCGCAGCGGGCAGCCGUAUAUGCACACAGGAUAAUCUAUUUCUAGGACAAAUACCCAAGAUGGUUAUUAUAGGUUUUGUGAAUAACGAAGCAUUCACAGGGAGCUAUGCCAGGAAUCCUUUCAGAUUCCAACAUUUCGGCAUUGAGUUCUUAUCCCUAUAUUGCGACGGUCAAGCAUACCCCUCUAAGCCCUUUCAGCCUGACUUUAGAAAUGGCCUCUAUACUCGAGAAUAUUUCCAGCUCAUUCAGGCUACAGGUCGUCAGCUCAAAGAUAGAGAAAUAGCUAUUAACCAUAAGGAAUUCGGGGACGGGUAUGCAUUAUUUUGUUUCAACCUUGAGGCAGAUGAGGGCUGUGGGCAACAUGUAUCGCUAGUCAGAACAGGGAAUGUGAGGCUAGAGGCACGAUUCAGAGCAGCACUGGCUACAACGGUCAAUUUGAUAUGUUAUGCAGUUUAUGAUUCUGUUAUAGAAAUAUCAAAUAGACGGCAGGUGCUGUUGGACUAUUACUAA
Molecule: long non-coding RNA, 1308 nt
Filed under: Gadus morhua (Atlantic cod)
Lineage: Eukaryota; Metazoa; Chordata; Actinopteri; Gadiformes; Gadidae
Description: lncRNA (ENSGMOG00000023671.1)
Source: RNAcentral